RNAcentral lists this long non-coding RNA (535 nucleotides) under Phoenix dactylifera (date palm). Its description in RNAcentral is "long non-coding RNA (PDAC_LNC022115)". The record is from RNAcentral. Lineage: Eukaryota; Viridiplantae; Streptophyta; Magnoliopsida; Arecales; Arecaceae.
AAAGGAACGAUGGAGGAGGCUGGGGCGCUAGGAUGUGGUUGGGAUGCUGGCAGCUGCUCUCGGGAUGUGCUGAGGCGGGGUCGUGAUCGACGGGAGGAAGAAGCUGGGGCUCGUGGAGGGGGCUGUGGACUUCCUUCUUUGGCCCAAGUGGGAGACGCGAUGCAGGGGGGAACGAGCUGGCCGUACGGGCUGUUGAUUGGCUGGGGUGUGUUCUCAACGGAUGGAGAUGAACCUGAUGAAACAGGUUUGGGAAGUGGGAUGCUUGGUUUGAUUGCGUUGAUGGCGUGGACGGCCGGGAUUUCAUGCAUGCAUGGCAGCUGGGGAAUUUGUUGAGCUCGGGCUGCCGGGCAUUGGGCUCAAAUCCAAUGUUAUUGGGUCUCUUGAUUUUCUUGCACUCAAACACAAAUACAACGUUAAUUAAUUAAUUUUAUCAUUAUAGAUUAACUAUAAUACUAAUUAAAAUGGUACGACGAUUGCACUUUUGUGCUCUCAUCACACCCUCCAACUAGCUUAUUGCUAGUCUUUAGCAAUUUCG